Molecule: long non-coding RNA, 2056 nt
Organism: Arachis duranensis
Lineage: Eukaryota; Viridiplantae; Streptophyta; Magnoliopsida; Fabales; Fabaceae
Exons: 7
Source: RefSeq, a predicted model, not a curated record
UCUUUUCCUUAAACACUACCACAAAAACAGGAGAUAGUGGCGGAUAGUUAGUAGCUGUUUUGACAAUAGCCGCUAUCUAAUGGUUUUCCAACAAAUUUAAUGGUGAACGCUGAAAGAGCAGCCAUUUGAUUCAGUUUUGCUGCGAAUUUAAAAAAAUCGCUGUCAAUCUAUCUUGGCCGUAUUUCAAUCUCUCAUUCUCCUAGUCCCAUAAUCCCAUUUAUCAGACACACUUUUCUCCCUCUCUCCUCUCUUUGCAAAAAUAUCUCCAAACCCUGCUAACCCUAAUCUUCUUCUACGAGGUACCAUCGGCGAUAGAUUUCUGCCUCCGUCACCUCCAACCUUCAUCGACGCACCCGUCGCAGGUUCAGAUUUGUUCUAGUUACUUUCUCAUGUCUGUUUCUUCUGAUUCAGAUCCUCUGCCAAAGCUUCACGUCGGACGAGCCUCUCGACUUUGGAGCUGCAGAUUCAGACUCCGCGUGCCUCUGUUCUAGCUUUUGCUUGCUAUUGGUGCCUCUUUCCUUUUGCUCUGCUUUGGUUUGAUUUAAUUUGUUCUGAACUCUCUUUUUAUGCAUUUUGAAAUUGGUUUUGCUCAUUUUUUUAUACCCAGUAAAUGAUUUGCUUCAUCCAUGGUAAUUCAACUCGGUUGUUCAAAUUUUAACACAUUCCUUGUGAUAACCAUUCCCAUUUCUGUUCCUAUUCCACAAUUGUGUACCUUUACUACUACCGUUUUUGAAAUUAUUAUUAUUAUUAUUAUUAUUAUUAUUAUUAUUAUUAUUAUUAUUAUUAUUAUUAUUAUUAUUUGUUUAAUUUUUAACCUUCUCUUCCAAAGUAUGAAGUAGGAUUCUGAUUGCAAAAUCGGCAUGGUAUUAUUGUGUUGUGUUGCGUUGUUGUUUCAUUCUAAGCCCUACUAUUAGUUAAAGAGGAAUUCCCUUGGCCCCUGUUGCUGUCUCAAUAGAAUCUUCUUUUUUGCUCCCACCUUUUUGAGGGUACGUAACAGUAUAUUGAGGUAAUUAAUUGGAUUAAUGCAAAUGGCACAAUGCUAUUUCGUAUAUCUCACAUAAUUUUUCUUCUGUUAUGUGCAUUGUAUUCUGAUGUAUUCAAAACUUACUUUUCUAUUGCUGAUUGAUAUUGUAGAAGUCUACGACAUAAUGGCUGUUUGUGGAUGUAUUUGUUUUUUCUGUUUGUAGUAGGGAUACAACAAGACCAAGGAUUUAGAUAAUGAGGAGCUCUUGGAGUAGUUGCCUGCUUUGUAGCAGCUGCUAUAUAGACUUGUUGGUUGUCAGUUUAACAAUUCUCAUAACUGGGAGCACUUGAGGGGUUGCCUAGUCAAAUUUGAAGACUGCAAUAUACUUUCCAAGAAAAAGAAGGCUUUGCUACAGGCUCUUGGUGAUAGGAAGGGUAUUAAUCGGUUUGGUGACUUCUCUGCUCCACUUGAUGAAGCAUUAAUACACAUUUCACUGGAUUUAUCUGGCCGACCACAUUUAAGUUAUAAUUUAGAUAUCCCUACCCGGAGGGUCGGGACAUAUGAUGCUCAGUUAAAAUUAAACACUGACUUUGCAUCUAUAAGGUGUCCAGAAACAACUGUCUAUAGGGGCAUCACGAGUGACUCUGUUGGUGAGAAAUUUGAAGAAAAAAUCAUUGUGAUCCAGGAUUUUGGAGGAGGUAAUGAAAAAGUUUGUAGACAUUGUGCAUUUUUUACAUUUGGAGAUACAUGAAGCAUUUGGCAGUGCUGGUGCUUUCAAGAACUGCAAAUAAUUGAUUAUGAGCAUUUGGCAGUAUGGAAUGUCUCCUUAGGGUUCCAGUUUUUGCACUCAAUCUCUGCUACCUAUCCACUAGGGAAGACCAUUAUUAAAAUGUGCAUUUUGCUUCUGGUAUUUUGUUUUGGAGAUGUCAUUCUCGUAAUUUGUUACUACUUUAUUCUUGUGAUAUUUUAACCAUCUUUAGGUUGCUCUUAUUUUUGUGUUUGUUUAGAUGUAAAAUAUGUAUGCGGUAAGAAUCCUUAUUAAACAUUUUCAUUUAUUUUAAUAACAAAGUUUACAAGAAAAUCAUGAAGUUA